AUCACUUUGAUCUUCAUACAGAAAUGUAAUUGUCUCCUUGUCUCUUUGGGCUAAAACUGCUUCUCGCCUUCGAGCCAUCCUAUCUGGUCCAAUCUCUUUAACAUUUGUUGUUUUGGUAACAGCUGUUAAUCCAACAAUUCUUGAUGGGACACUUUUCUUGGAUGGAACAAUAUACACACGGUUUUUUUUCAACCAACACAUUGCGCCAAUCUCUAAGUUUACUAAUUGUUUUGGUGUUUCAGGAAACCAAACAUUUACCAUCAUCGACUUAGCAGCAAACAGCCCAAAAAUAGAAACAACGUGUAUUGCAAAAUUGUGUGAAUUCACUUCAAAAAGAGUUCAACAGGUAUGUCUCAC
Arabidopsis lyrata subsp. lyrata is the source of this 357-nucleotide long non-coding RNA. RefSeq lists it as uncharacterized. The transcript is spliced from 3 exons. NCBI's taxonomy places the organism in Eukaryota, Viridiplantae, Streptophyta, Magnoliopsida, Brassicales, Brassicaceae. The record is from RefSeq and is a predicted model, not a curated record.